This 104-nucleotide transfer RNA is filed under the name Sphingobacterium faecium. Its description in RNAcentral is "tRNA-OTHER". It matches the Rfam family "tRNA". From Rfam's summary of the family: Transfer RNA (tRNA) molecules are approximately 80 nucleotides in length. The record is from RNAcentral. Lineage: Bacteria; Pseudomonadati; Bacteroidota; Sphingobacteriia; Sphingobacteriales; Sphingobacteriaceae.
GGGGAAGUGGUAGUGUGGUAUUACACUUACGUAGAAGCGGUGAGAUGAAAGCUAGAUAGACUCACAACGUAUAGCAAAUAAAGGUUCGAAUCCUUUCUUCUCCA